ACUCCUACGGGAGGCAGCAGUGGGGAAUCUUGCGCAAUGGGCGGAAGCCUGACGCAGCAACGCCGCGUGUGGGAAGACGGCCUUCGGGUUGUAAACCACUUUCAGGGGGGACGAAGCUUCCGAGGUUAAUAGCCUACGGGGUGACGGUACCCCCAGAAGAAGCCCCGGCUAACUACGUGCCAGCAGCCGCGGUAAUACGUAGGGGGCGAGCGUUGUCCGGAAUCAUUGGGCGUAAAGCGCGUGUAGGCGGCUCGGUCAGUCUGGUGUGAAACCUUGGGGCUCAACCCCAAGCCUGCACUGGAUACUGCCGAGCUUGAGUCCGGGAGGGGAGAGCGGAAUUCCUAGUGUAGCGGUGAAAUGCGCAGAUAUUAGGAAGAACACCGGUGGCGAAGGCGGCUCUCUGGAACGGUACUGACGCUGAGACGCGAAGCGUGGGGAGCGAACAGGAUUAGAUACCCUGGUAGGCGUAG
RNAcentral lists this ribosomal RNA (470 nucleotides) under uncultured bacterium. Its description in RNAcentral is "bacterial SSU rRNA". It matches the Rfam family "Bacterial small subunit ribosomal RNA", at positions 335 to 799 of the family's 1533-position model. The record is from RNAcentral.